GACGAACGCUGGCGGCGUGCUUAACACAUGCAAGUCGAACGGAAAGGCCCUGCGUUUGUGGGGUGCUCGAGUGGCGAACGGGUGAGUAACACGUGAGUAACCUGCCCUUGACUUUGGGAUAACUUCAGGAAACUGGGGCUAAUACCGGAUAGGAGCUCCUGCUGCAUGGUGGGGGUUGGAAAGUUUCGGCGGUUGGGGAUGGAAUCGCGGGUUAUCAGCUUGUUGGGGGGGUAGUGGCUGACCAAGGCUUUGACGGGUAGCCGGCCUGAGAGGGUGACCGGCCACAUUGGGCCUGAGAUACGGCCCAGACUCCUACGUUAGGCAGCAGUGGGGAAUAUUGCACAAUGGGCGGACGCCUGAUGCAGCAACGCCGCGUUCGGGAUGCCGUCCUUCGGGUUGUAAACCGCUUUCUCCUUUGACGAAGCGUGAGUGACGGUACUGGGUAAAGAAGCACCGGCUAACUACGUG
Molecule: ribosomal RNA, 468 nt
Filed under: uncultured bacterium
Lineage: Bacteria
Description: partial 16S ribosomal RNA
Rfam family: Bacterial small subunit ribosomal RNA
Source: RNAcentral